This is a long non-coding RNA of Cyprinus carpio (common carp), 604 nucleotides long. RefSeq lists it as uncharacterized. The record is from RefSeq and is a predicted model, not a curated record. The transcript is spliced from 3 exons. NCBI's taxonomy places the organism in Eukaryota, Metazoa, Chordata, Actinopteri, Cypriniformes, Cyprinidae.
CACAUAGUCAACCCCUCCCCCACACCUAUACCCGCGCGCGCGUCUCUCGCUCUCGUCUGGAGCUAAUGAUUGCAUCUCGUGACUCACUGGACGAGCAGGUGAAAAUGCAGCAGCAAUCAACGUGUUCAUCUCCAAGGUUAAUGGUUGCUACUUAGGUUUUCACUCAUGGAGAGAAGACGACGACUUCGACCAAUACAAGAUGCGGAGUACCAUAUCCAAGCGGGGAUUGAUAAACCAUGUCUCCAGCAGCAUUUUAUCAAUAAUUUUAAAGGCCGAGGUGUUUUUGCCACUGAACUCAUAUUCAAAGGCGACUUUGUUGUGGAGUACCGAGGGAAACUACUGUCACCGCAGCAGGCAGAGCUCCAAACUAUUGAGUACAAUAAGUCUGCAAAGGUUUUUCUUUUUGAUUUUCAUUGGAAGAGUAAAACAUGGUGGUAAGUAGAUGAAGUGGCUAUGUAGCAACGUUACAAUGCAAGGGCCAUGUCUAAAAUCUAGAGUUGUUCUCUUUAUGUUAGUGCCUUUGUCAGUACUACUUCAGUGACAGUUUUCUACCCUUCAGUGCACCUUCGCAGUGACAGUUAUCUGCCCUUCACUGCACCUUCGC